UUCUAUGAUGAACCCCUGAUAGGGACAGCUUAUGUCAAAGACAUUUGAUGAGCAAACCAGGGCCAGUAUUUUAGUAGAUGCUUCGAAUCUGAUA
This 94-nucleotide small nucleolar RNA is filed under the name Pestalotiopsis fici W106-1. Its description in RNAcentral is "A. fumigatus snoRNA Afu_335". It matches the Rfam family "A. fumigatus snoRNA Afu_335". The record is from Rfam by way of RNAcentral. Lineage: Eukaryota; Fungi; Ascomycota; Sordariomycetes; Amphisphaeriales; Sporocadaceae.